Molecule: non-coding RNA, 75 nt
Organism: Podarcis lilfordi (Lilford's wall lizard)
Lineage: Eukaryota; Metazoa; Chordata; Lepidosauria; Squamata; Lacertidae
Source: the annotation of a GenBank genome assembly
UCCCUGGAAUAGCUCAGCCGGUAGAGCGUGAGGCUCUUAAUCUCAGGGUUGUGGGUUUGAACCCCACGUUGGGCA